Molecule: microRNA precursor, 71 nt
Filed under: Drosophila virilis
Lineage: Eukaryota; Metazoa; Arthropoda; Insecta; Diptera; Drosophilidae
Description: microRNA dvi-mir-9696b precursor
Source: miRBase by way of RNAcentral
AAAAGGCCCUUUCAGACUGUUAUCUAUGACUAGUCAAAAAAUGCACAUAGCAGUCGAAAAGGGCCUUUCGC